This 446-nucleotide ribosomal RNA is filed under the name uncultured prokaryote. Its description in RNAcentral is "bacterial SSU rRNA". It matches the Rfam family "Bacterial small subunit ribosomal RNA", at positions 355 to 796 of the family's 1533-position model. The record is from RNAcentral.
UCGAGAAUCUUCGGCAAUGGGCGCAAGCCUGACCGAGCGACGCCGCGUGCGGGAUGAAGGCCUUCGGGUUGUAAACCGCUGUCAGUGGGGAGGAAAUGCAUCAGGGUUCUCUCUGGUGUUUGACCGAUCUUCAGAGGAAGGCCGGGCUAAGUUCGUGCCAGCAGCCGCGGUAAGACGAACCGGUCGAACGUUAUUCGGAAUCACUGGGCUUAAAGAGUGCGUAGGCGGUCUUGCAGGUGAGGUGUGAAAUCCCUCGGCUCAACCGAGGAACUGCGCUUCAAACCGUUAGGCUUGAGGGAGAUAGAGGUGAGCGGAACUGAUGGUGGAGCGGUGAAAUGCGUUGAUAUCAUCAGGAACACCUGUGGCGAAAGCGGCUCACUGGGUCUCUUCUGACGCUGAGGCACGAAAGCUAGGGUAGCGAACAGGAUUAGAUACCCCGGUAGUCC